GACGAACGCUGGCGGCGUGCUUUAGGCAUGCAAGUGGAACGAGUCGCUUUCGGGCGACUAGUCGCGAACGGCUGAGUAACACGUAGGAAUCUACCCCUUGGCGGAGAAUACCCAUUCGAAAGAGUGGUUAAUACUGCAUAAGAUCGUAAGAUGAAAGGGCGUAACUGCCCACCGAGGGAGGAGCCUGCGGCCUAUCAGCUUGUUGGUGAGAUAAAAGCUCACCAAGGCUACGACGGGUAGGGGGCGUGAGAGCGUGUACCCCCAGAAUGGCACUGAGAUACGGGCCAUACACCUACGGGUGGCAGCAACCGGGAAUUGUGCGCAAUGGACGAAAGUCUGACGCCGCGACGCCGCGUGAGGGAUGAAGGCCCUUGGGUUGUAAACCUCUUUUGCCAAAAGGGAGACCUUUUGGAGAAUAAGCACCGGCUAACUACGUGCCAGCAGCAGCGGUAAAACGUAGGGUGCAAGCGUUGUCCGGAUUUACUGGGCGUAAAGGGUUUCGUAGGCGGUCUAAUAAGUCAUACUUCAAAGCCCGGGGCUCAACCUCGGAAAGGGGUGUGAUACUUUUAGACUUGAAGGAUGUCGGGGCUACUGGAAUUGUCGGUGUAGGGGUGAAAUCCGUUGAUAUCGACAAGAACACCAAGGGCGUAGGCAGGUAGCUAGGCAUCAUUUGACGCUAAGGAACGAAAGCUAGGGUAGCAAAAGGGAUUAGAGACCCCUGUAGUCCUAGCCGUAAACGAUGCUCGCUAGGGAUCUUCCCCGCCCUUUCUUUAAUUAACUCAGGUAAGAAAGUUGCAACAGAUGAUUUUUUUAUUUUAUUUACUUGAGGAUUGAAUGUAUUGAGGAAAGAGCGGGGGGGGUCUCGUAAGCUAACGCGUUAAGCGAGCCGCCUGGGGAGUACGAUCGCAAGAUUAAAACUCAAAGGAAUUGACGGGGACCCGCACAACCAGUGGAGCAUGUGGUUUAAUUCGAGACGAACCGAAGAACCUUACCUGGACUUGACAUCCUAGCUGCACGUCGUUAGAAAUAGCGACUUCUUCGAGAGUGCUAGGACAGGUGUUGCAUGGCUGUCGUCAGCUCGUGCCGUAGGGUGUUCCCUUCAGUGGGGUAACGAGCGCAACCCCUGCCGUAUGUUGUAUUUCAUACGGGACUAUUCUGCUUAGCAGAGAGGAAGUGGGGACGACGUCAAGUCAGCAUGGCCCUUAUGUCCAGGGCUACACACAUGCUACAAUGGAGCCGACAAUGGGUUGCCAAGCGGUAACGUGGAGCUAAUCCCAUCAAACGGCUUCUCAGUGGGGAUUGAGGGCUGCAAUUUGCCCUCAUGAACGAGGAAUUGGUAGUAAUCGCGGAUCAGCCAAGCCGCGGUGAAUACGUUCUCGGGUCUUGUACACACCGCCCGUCAAGUGAGUGAAGUUGGGAGCACCCGAAGGUCGUCUGUGACGACUGAAGGUGAGACCAGCGACAAGCACU
RNAcentral lists this ribosomal RNA (1470 nucleotides) under uncultured bacterium. RNAcentral's name for it is "bacterial SSU rRNA". It matches the Rfam family "Bacterial small subunit ribosomal RNA". The record is from RNAcentral.